RNAcentral lists this long non-coding RNA (416 nucleotides) under Elaeis guineensis (African oil palm). Its description in RNAcentral is "long non-coding RNA (EGUI_LNC022692)". The record is from RNAcentral. Lineage: Eukaryota; Viridiplantae; Streptophyta; Magnoliopsida; Arecales; Arecaceae.
CCUAUAAUUUUGGCAAUGAUCUAAGCACCCUUCUCAUAAGAUCAUUGUUAAGAUAAGAUUUUUAAAAAUUUUUAAGAUCAUUAAUAAUAUUCAUAAACUGAGUAAUUAUUUCAAUAAUAUAUCUAUUUAAUUUUAUUUUAAAAAUUUAUAUUUAUGAAUAAAUAUAUUAAUUUUUGAUUAUUUAAGAAAAGAUAUACUUUGGUCAGUAUAGUCUCUAGAUCCUAACGAUGAAGAUCAAUCUGGCGAAAAUACGACAUCGUUGCCGCUAGCGCACACCAUCGACGCCACUAGCGCAUGCCAUUGACGAACACCAGUCAUGAAAUGCCACGAUCUCAUCCUCAUUGGUUAAUCAGCCAGAUUCGUUGGAGUACGGAGAUGGGAUGCUAUCUGCCUUCGCCGGAGUAUGGACGGGGAGA